AUGCUCACUUCAGCAGCACAUACACUAAACUGGAAUGAUACACACAUUAGCAUGGCCCCUGAGCAAGCAUGACGUGCAAAUUCUUGAAAUGUUCCAUAUUUUA
Molecule: small nuclear RNA, 103 nt
Organism: Phyllostomus hastatus (greater spear-nosed bat)
Lineage: Eukaryota; Metazoa; Chordata; Mammalia; Chiroptera; Phyllostomidae
Source: RefSeq, a predicted model, not a curated record